CCAUCACGACGCAUCGAAAUCAAACGCCUCUCUCUCUCUCUCUCUCUCUCUCUCUCUCCUCUUCCAGUCUCUCCCUCCCCAAUAUGCAAAGCUGUAUUGUGAUGGGAUCAUCUAAGCUGUUUCGUGCGUAGACGGUGGCCGCAGCUCGUCAAGUUCAUUCCAGAUGCAUUCUUUGUAUUUGCUUGGGCAGUAUUGCAGGUCCUAGUCCCAAGUGCUGAUUUGGAGUCUGGUCGCCAUCCUUUCCUUUUGAGCUAUUUUGUAAUAGGACGACAAACACAUUUGCUGAAGUUUCCAAGGUUUCACACAAACAAGAGUAGGGAAGCCUUUCGAAAUCAGCACUGAUAGAGGAUGACUUUGAGUACUAAGAACGGUACAAAUAUCAUGUUUUAGGUUGAGGUUUUCCAUUAAACAAAACCUUUUUAAUUUUCUUAUCAAAUAUUACUCUGUUGUUUUCACCUGAAUUCAAUGAUAUUCAAUAAAGAAGCGGUAUUUUGUAA
Malania oleifera is the source of this 497-nucleotide long non-coding RNA. RefSeq lists it as uncharacterized. NCBI's taxonomy places the organism in Eukaryota, Viridiplantae, Streptophyta, Magnoliopsida, Santalales, Ximeniaceae. The record is from RefSeq and is a predicted model, not a curated record. The transcript is spliced from 3 exons.